Oncorhynchus nerka (sockeye salmon) is the source of this 3139-nucleotide long non-coding RNA. RefSeq lists it as uncharacterized. The transcript is spliced from 3 exons. NCBI's taxonomy places the organism in Eukaryota, Metazoa, Chordata, Actinopteri, Salmoniformes, Salmonidae. The record is from RefSeq and is a predicted model, not a curated record.
UAUAUUCUCGAUUCUGGGGGGAAUGAUUUAAGUUAUCUUUGAUUUGAUGUUCUAUUUUUUUUUAAAUUGAUCAAUAAUGGGAGCUUUACUAUUCCCACGGGGUUUUGUAUGACCAACAUACACUGGGUUUUGUAUAACCGAUAUACACUGGGCAGGUUCAUAAAAAACCUGCGGUAACGUGCACUACCGUAAAUAAACUAAACUUAAUCAUGAGAGGCAUGUUCGCCCGAGAUGAGGGGAUAUUAAAUAGGUGCUGGGGGAUAGGACGGUGAUCUUGUACAAAUAGGAUAUUAACUAGGCGUGGGGAGACAGGAAGGGAAUUAUUUUCGGACAAGAUAAACUCUGGGAGUAUUGACCAUCGUUCCGAUUCAACAAAUAGUACUGAAAUAAAGUCCAAAUGAGGAGGAGAGGGAAACCAAAAUCUAGAGGAAUGGGAUAAAAGCCAAAUCUAUAGACAAGAGGUUCCAGGCGAGAGGGAAGCCUAAUAUAGCGAAGUGAGAUAACGAUAUUAGUGUACUUUAAAAGCCCUCUGACACAACCUGAUAUAAGAUGUUAACUAGGGAUUUACGACCCCUGGGCUUAUAGUUGUAUAGGUAAGACCUAAUAUCCGAUUCAACAGUCAAAGCUAUUGAUAAGGUUUCCAUAAAGGAGAAAACACAAAUAGAAAUAUAUGCAGAAAGAUGAUAAGAGGAACACCUAUUUUAGCCAAACAUGGAGGAGCAAGUACGAAUUUGAUGAACGUUUAAAUAAAGAAAAACUGGAAUCAAUGAUUAAACAAAUAAAUAGGGUUAGUGAAGACAAGGCAGAUAAACAACGGGCAGAGGGGCUAAAUACAGCUAGGAUAUGGUUAGCCGAGGCAAGGAAGGGAGCUGAGAACAAAGGAAAAGAAAGGGAGACGUCCAAAAUUUGACUCAGACAAAGAACCUGAAUAGAAGCUGAUACUACUAAAAUAGUCAGGAAGGGUUUAAAUUAGGACUAUUUUCUGGGAAUUCUCGGUGCCGGAGUUUGCGACUACAGAUAAUUAUAAUAAUAUAGUUAUUGCCGGGGAAACUCAAUCAUUUCAAUAGCGGGACACUAAGGUUCGUAUCUCAGCUUUGACACCAAUAGACUAAAAUUGAUUUUAGAUUGUAAUUCAUCUAUUUGUAUGUUUUGCCUGGAAAAAUAUGGUCGCUAGUGUUUGUAUAAGAUAUGAACUGAAUGUUUAAUAUGUUGUUUAGGUUGAAUUGAAAGAAAAAUUCAUUCAAAAUAAUGGCGAGACAAUUUCGAUAUAAUACUGUAUUUUGCCCAAAAUGAUCUGCUGGAAUAAUGUAUUGAGAUGGGAGUCGUAUUUAAAUAAAUGUAUCAUAGAAGAGAAAGUAACCUAAACCUGAUUAAUUUUAGGGAAUAACGGAGAGAUACGAUAAAGUUUUGUGCCACCAGGAUGUUGUAUUUUUUUAUGAAUCGACUGACAUACGAUAUAAAUUUAGCACAGAACAUGGUACGUUUAAAUGUUGGGGUUUAGAAAGUUGAGAAGUUCGGUUGGUUUUACUUUGUCGAUAGAAUUUAAAGGAGAACUCAAUCUGAAUAGGGAAUAUAUAUUUGACAAGUGGCAGGCUGAUUUGCGGCGUCAUUACGUUGACUACACAACAACGUUCCUCAAAUUAUGACAGAGAAAAUGGGCUGUGGCAUUUAGAGGGAAAAUGCGUGCAUUAUAGCUUUGAGUUACUUUUCAAAAGUGGCUAAAAGUUUCAAAUACAUUUUUUUUAAAGGAGCAGAAUAUCGUAGGGAUAGUCUGAAAAGAUGCAACAGAAUUGCUAGGCGUUCCAUUGGGCUAUAUUUGGCAAUAAUAUAGGGAGAUGUAUGCACUACAGGUGAACUACAGGAUAAGGUGAUUCACUCAACCCAGUCCCAGAGGAGAAUAAACGGGAAGCAGCACGGUGGGGAGGGGCCAGACCAAGCACUCCUGGUGACUGCCUUCGCGGUGAGGAUAGACGGGAAGCAGCACGGUGGGGAGGGGCCAUACCAAGCACUCCUGGUGACUGCCUUCGCGGUGAGGAUAGACGGGAAGCAGCACGGUGGGGAGGGGCCAUACCAAGCACUCCUGGUGACUGCCUUCGCGGUGAGGAUAGACGGGAAGCAGCACGGUGGGGAGGGGCCAUACCAAGCACUCCUGGUGACUGCCUUCGCGGUGAGGAUAGACGGGAAGCAGCACGGUGGGGAGGGGCCAUACCAAGCACUCCUGGUGACUGCCGUCGCGGUGAGGAUAGACGGGAAGCAGCACGGUGGGGAGGGGCCAGACCAAGCACUCCUGGUGACUGCCGUCGCGGUGAGGAUAGCCGAAGGAGCUCCCGGGGACUCUGGGGAAAUCAUUGAGAAAACAGAUGGUGCGAUAUGGACUGAUUCCAAGAUCUGACCAGUGGAAUGAUGGAUACAUGCCUCAAACCUAAAUAGAUGAAUGAAUCCGGGUUCUUCAUAUGCGAGGAACUUAUGUUUUUGAUUAGAGCAUUUUGAUAUUUAGAGAUGUUAGGUUGUUUCUUGUUUCGAUGAAGAUUGUAACGAAAAUUCUGAUGAGAAGAGUUAUGAUUCUGAUGUUGGCCUAAAAACAGUCAGUGUGAAUGCAAUAAUUGGGUUAUGUUUAGGUGAUAUUUUGAUAACAAUAAAUAUUUCUAAUAAAAAUAGAAGUAUGCUUUUUAAUAUUUUAAUAAAACUAGAUGUGUGAUUGGAUCUAUAAUAUUUAAUCAUUUUUUAUCAAUAAUGACUCAUUAUGUAUACAUUUCAAUCAGGACUGACUAAUCAGAAUACUAUUAUGUUGCUGUAUAGAUGUAUGAGUUAAAAAAAAAUCCUAGUACUGAAUAUAAUGUGUGUAAAUAUAAUCAAGAAUUCCAACAAUGACUGUCUGUUCCUUGGUAGAAAUGAAUGAACUUAUCGCCAGACUGGCUAGAAUGCUUAUCUACACAGGCAGACCUUGGCUCGGGUCAUAAAUUAUCUAAAUUAGGAGAGACGAUGUGGGAAGGCUUGAGAACUAUACAGCCUUUGUACCAGGGUGAAGAAGAGACGGGACAGUUCGAAAACUAAUGAUGUCAUUUUCAGUUUAUAACCUGUGGUAAACUGUAUCAUGUUCAGUACUCUCGAGAAUAAACGCUGCUGGUUGAUUUUGAAA